RNAcentral lists this ribosomal RNA (647 nucleotides) under uncultured Actinomycetes bacterium. RNAcentral describes it as "bacterial SSU rRNA". It matches the Rfam family "Bacterial small subunit ribosomal RNA", at positions 232 to 885 of the family's 1533-position model. Lineage: Bacteria; Bacillati; Actinomycetota; Actinomycetes. The record is from RNAcentral.
CGCGGCCUAUCAGCUUGUUGGUGGGGUAACGGCCCACCAAGGCAUCGACGGGUAGCCGGUCUGAGAGGACGAUCAGCCACACUGGGACUGAGACACGGCCCAGACUCCUACGGGAGGCAGCAGUGGGGAAUAUUGCACAAUGGGCGCAAGCCUGAUGCAGCGACGCCGCGUGAGGGAUGACGGCCUUCGGGUUGUAAACCUCUUUCGCCAGGGACGAAGCCUUUUGGGGUGACGGUACCUGGAGAAGAAGCACCGGCUAACUACGUGCCAGCAGCCGCGGUAAUACGUAGGGUGCGAGCGUUGUCCGGAAUUAUUGGGCGUAAAGAGCUCGUAGGCGGUUUGUCGCGUCGGCCGUGGAAACUGGAGGCUUAACCUUCAGCGUGCGGUCGAUACGGGCAGACUUGAGUUCGGUAGGGGAGUCUGGAAUUCCUGGUGUAGCGGUGAAAUGCGCAGAUAUCAGGAGGAACACCGGUGGCGAAGGCGGGACUCUGGGCCGAUACUGACGCUGAGGAGCGUAAGCGUGGGGAGCGAACAGGAUUAGAUACCCUGGUAGUCCACGCUGUAAACGUUGGGCGCUAGGUAUGGGUGACAUUCCACGUUGUCCGUGCCGUAGCUAACGCAUUAAGCGCCCCGCCUGGGGAGUACGG